GAUGAACGCUGGCGGCGUGCCUAAUACAUGCAAGUCGAGCGGUAACACUUCGGGUGACGAGCGGCGGACGGCUGAGUAACGCGUAGGAACAUACCCCAAAGUGAGGGAUAAGCACCGGAAACGGUGUCUAAUACCGCAUGUGGUCUUCGGAUUAAAGCUUCGGCGCUUUGGGAAUGGCCUGCGUAUGAUUAGCUUGUUGGUGAGGUAAUGGCUCACCAAGGCGACGAUCAUUAGCUGGUCUGAGAGGAUGAUCAGCCAGACUGGGACUGAGAACGGCCCAGACUCCUACGGGAGGCAGCAGUAGGGAAUUUUCCACAAUGGACGAAAGUCUGAUGGAGCAACGCCGCGUGCAGGAUGAAUGCCUUCGGGUUGUAAACUGCUUUUCUCUGUGACGAUUAUGACGGUAGCAGAGGAAUAAGGAUCGGCUAACUCCGUGCCAGCAGCCGCCGCGGA
This 453-nucleotide ribosomal RNA is filed under the name uncultured bacterium. RNAcentral describes it as "partial 16S ribosomal RNA". It matches the Rfam family "Bacterial small subunit ribosomal RNA", at positions 28 to 529 of the family's 1533-position model. The record is from RNAcentral.